AUGAUAUGGGGAGUCCCUGUGACUUUUUUAUUUUUGCUCUGCACAGCUCCUGGCCUCGUCUCAGCUGCAUUGGACUGCACGAUGAAUGAUCUGUCCAAGGCUUCCUGGCGGCUGGGGGCAAAUCCAGGCGAGACGACUCUGGGCUCCAGGAGGGCUGCCUUGGUGAAGCAGGCUCUGCCCGGCACAGCGAGCGAGGAGAGGGACGCAGACCCAGCAUGUGCACGCAUCCAGCCCCACGUGUGUUUGGCGCAAGCUCUCCAGGUGUUCCCAGACUUCUCUGCCACAUGUUUUUUGGAGCCUCCCUUCUGGUACCCGUGGCCUCCUGGCAAUCUCACAGGAGAUUGUCCUUCAGGUGCUGAAUGGCUGGGAUAUGCCCCCUGGGGAAGACCGCACAUGAGGUGUGGGAGCUGGCUCCGUGGUCUGGAUCCCAACCUGAAUGAUGCUGGAGAAGAGACCUCAGAACCACUGUCAGCACCUGCACCACAGCUGGGCAGUGGUGCUGAGCCCCCAGCGCUGCUCCUCCUGUGUUCUCGCCUUUGCCAAGGACCUGAUGACUUCGUCGUUGCUGCCAUCCCAAGGACAGGCUGCCAGAAGAUGCUGCAGGCACCGGAGGAUGCAUCCCAGAAGCAUGGGGGUGGCCUGUUGCUGAGGCUGCAGCAAAGCUUCCUGACCCCUGAUUUCCCCAGGCCACUGCCAACAGAGGGUUCUCUGUGAGAAGCACAGAGCGAAGUCGAGGGACUGCCAAAGCAGAGGAAAACAAGGCCAAGCGCACACAGAUGGUGAGCCCACAAAUUUAAUUUAAAAUCAUCCUUUAUUAUUCAAAAUAUUAAAAUUCAGGCAAUAAUGCCCAAAGGAACUGCACUGAUUAAAGUUCCCUAAUGUUUCAUGGCCAAAUCUUGCUGCUUCUUCCAAGGGUCACUGGGACAAGAAGUGAAACCCCUCUGGAGUGCAGAGAGAGGCAGGGCUGUACCUGCUGUAGAUCGUUUACCCAAACAGUUACUUACUGACCCAAUCAGCUUCACUUAAAGCAAAGCACCAGCUGUUCCUUACCCAAUUAAUGAUUGCCACAGCAAAUUAACAUGGCGUUACACCAGGCGUGGAUGUGGUCCGCAGAGUCCGGAAUGCACAGAGCAAUAUGCUAUUGCAAAAAUAAUCACAGUAAUAUCUUUACUGUUAGGUAGCAUCCUUCAUCUGGAAGGAUCGCAAGCUCCCUGUGUGCUAUAUGGCUCACUUCGUGCAACGUGCUCUGCAGUGAGGGUGCGGAGGGCAGGAAGGAGGGUAGGUGGGGUACGUGGUUGCUGUUUCAAGGCAGAAUAAGAGGAACAGCCAGGGCAGCUCUACUGUGGUAGAGGCAGCAUUGACCACACACGUCCAGGUCUUGGUUCCUGCAAUCCAAACAAAUUGUUAUUUCAUUGGUUGUAAAUCUGCUGGACUCAAAAUGUACCUUGAUCAUGCACCACGGACCUCUUUGAUGCCUCUCCCCUGUUGUGUGAUGUGACAGUUUGAUAGCACAGGGCUGUUGCAGGGAUUUUUGGGCCCUGGUCAGGGUCACAGUUCAGUGUCAGAGCCAUUCUGCUCUGGGAUGUGGCAGAUGUGGCAAGCACAGAGCCAGAUGGCCAGCUGCAGUGAGCACCCCUGGGUGGGAAGAGGCCACAAUGCUGGGCUGCAGAUGUGGGAAAGCCAAGCAUUGCCUCCCUGCUGAGCAUCCCCAGGUCAAGUGCUGCCUCUACAAUUCCUUCCUUGGUCCCUCUGUGCUGUGGGGCACACACACAGGCUGCCCCUCGCCCUGUCCCUCUGUGGUGGUUCUGCAUCGUGGGAGCCCAACAGCAGCAGAGCAGAGUAACUGAGCCAGUCUCUUCUUCCAUCAAAGUCCAGUUUACACAAAGGUUAAAUCUAGUUCCUAAAUACUCAUCACAGUUUUGGCUCUGCUAUGAGCCUGUGCCUUUUAUGACCCAGACACAUUAACCCCCUUUAAGUUACAGUCCGGAUAGAUCAAUCAGCCUAGAGGGCUUUGGGACAAAGGUAUCUGGUGUUGAAGCAUUAAACUUUCCAAUUUUCCCACAAUUAAGCCACCAUCAAAUAUUAUUGACAAAUAAAGCAUGCCAUCAAAGCCCCGAGCUGCCGCCU
This 2127-nucleotide long non-coding RNA is filed under the name Anser cygnoides (Swan goose). RNAcentral describes it as "lncRNA (ENSACDG00005005022.1)". The record is from RNAcentral. Lineage: Eukaryota; Metazoa; Chordata; Aves; Anseriformes; Anatidae.